UACGUAGGCAGCGAGCGUUGUUCGGAGUUACUGGGCGUAAAGAGUGCGUAGGCGGUUUUCUAAGUUUGGUGUGAAAUCUCCCGGCUUAACUGGGAGGGUGCGCCGAAGACUGGAAGGCUUGAGUAUGGGAGAGGUAAGCGGAAUUCCUGGUGUAGCGGUGAAAUGCGUAGAUAUCAGGAGGAACACCUGCGGUGUAGACGGCUUACUGGACCAUAACUGACGCUGAGGCGCGAAAGCUAGGGGAGCAAACGGG
This 253-nucleotide ribosomal RNA is filed under the name uncultured bacterium. RNAcentral describes it as "partial 16S ribosomal RNA". It matches the Rfam family "Bacterial small subunit ribosomal RNA", at positions 524 to 776 of the family's 1533-position model. The record is from RNAcentral.